RNAcentral lists this ribosomal RNA (395 nucleotides) under uncultured bacterium. Its description in RNAcentral is "partial 16S ribosomal RNA". It matches the Rfam family "Bacterial small subunit ribosomal RNA", at positions 523 to 918 of the family's 1533-position model. The record is from RNAcentral.
AUACGUAGGGGGCGAGCGUUGUCCGGAAUUAUUGGGCGUAAGGGGUACGUAGGCGGUUUUUUAAGUCUGGUGUGAAAUUGGUGGGCUCAACCCACCCAAGCAUUGGAAACUGGAAAACUUGAGUCAUGGAGAGGAAAGUGGAAUUCCUAGUGUAGCGGUGGAAUGCGUAGAUAUUAGGAGGAACACCAGUGGAGAAGGCGGUCUGCUGGACGACAACUGACGCUGAGGCGCGAAAGCGUGGGGAGCAAACAGGAUUAGAUACCCUGGUAGUCCACGCUGUAAACGAUGAAUACUAGGUGUGGGGGGACUGACCCCCUCCGUGCCGCAGUGAACACAAUAAGUAUUCCACCUGGGGAGUGCGAUCGCAAGAUUGAAACUCAAAGGAAUUGACGGGG